Molecule: transfer RNA, 71 nt
Filed under: Lunella aff. cinerea STW-2013
Lineage: Eukaryota; Metazoa; Mollusca; Gastropoda; Trochida; Turbinidae
Description: tRNA-Trp
Rfam family: tRNA
About the family: Transfer RNA (tRNA) molecules are approximately 80 nucleotides in length. Their secondary structure includes four short double-helical elements and three loops (D, anti-codon, and T loops).
Source: RNAcentral
AGAAUCUUAGGUUAAAUAUUAAACCAAAAGCCUUCAAAGCUUUAAUUGAAAACUGAAAUUUUCAGAUUCUG